This 754-nucleotide unclassified non-coding RNA is filed under the name Hevea brasiliensis (rubber tree). Lineage: Eukaryota; Viridiplantae; Streptophyta; Magnoliopsida; Malpighiales; Euphorbiaceae. The record is from RNAcentral.
UGGGGGAGGAGGUUUUGCAAACAAUUGAUUUAAAAGAAAGUCACAACUCACAUGGAUCAUGCCAUGUGCAUGAAAAAUGGGAAGCUUGCAUUGAAAACUGAUGUUAGGCAAACUGAUGUUAGGCAUACAAUUUUUCAGUUAUACAGACAAAAAACAGCCCGUAUGACAUUCAAAUUUAUAGCUCACAAGUUCUGCUAGCUGCAAGAAUCAUAAAAUGCAGCUCUUUUUCUUCUCAGAUGGUUCAUCUUUCUCCCUGCACUCUUCCCCAUCUACUUGAUUUUCUGUUGAAUCAGCAUCGCAUCUUUUCCUUUGGGGGAUUACUUGCAAGAAUGAAGCCUUCCAAUCUCUUGUUUCCAAGAACUUAAGGAGUAUCUCUAUCACUUGGUUUACUGUAAGGACCUGAGAACUUGACAUCUUCAAGUGAUUGUCUAUGGGUAGUUUUGCAGUUUGGAUUCCCUGUUCUUGUGCUUUCUUCAUGGUUAACCCUUUCCACCGAUUCCGAUCCACUAACCCACCAACAAUAUAUAUUUUUUUGGGAUCAAGUUCAUCCAACUCCAUUUCAGCAUCUGCUGUAAGAUAAACUAGAUUUUCUUUCUGAUCUUCCAAUGCUUCAACAUAAGAUCGACAUUCUUUCUCAAUUAUCCAUUUGUCAAAUCCUGGAAGCCUUUGCAAUUCGUUCUCCAUUUCCCCCCUGCAACCCGUCAACCAGAGGUGACCAGGAGAAGCGCAUCUUCCAUUCACCGCAUAGCAAUAC